This 201-nucleotide ribosomal RNA is filed under the name uncultured bacterium. RNAcentral describes it as "partial 16S ribosomal RNA". It matches the Rfam family "Bacterial small subunit ribosomal RNA", at positions 328 to 539 of the family's 1533-position model. The record is from RNAcentral.
ACGCUCGACACCUACGAGAGGCAGCAGUGGGGAAUAUUGGGCAAUGGGCGAAAGCCUGACCCAGCAACGCCGCGUGAGGGAAGAAGGUUUUCGGAUUGUAAACCUCUGUCCUCAGGGACGAAGGACGUGACGGUACCUGAGGAGGAAGCCCCGGCUAACUACGUGCUAGCAGCCGCGGUAAUCUGAGCGGGCUGGCAAGGC